GUGAGUAACACGUGGGUAACCUACCCAUCAGAGGGGGAUAACACUUGGAAACAGGUGCUAAUACCGCAUAACAUUUAUGCCGCAUGGCAUAAGAGUGAAAGGCGCUUUCGGGUGUCGCUGAUGGAUGGACCCGCGGUGCAUUAGCUAUUGGUGAGGUAACGGCUCACCAAGGCCACGAUGCAUAGCCGACCUGAGAGGGUGAUCGGCCACACUGGGACUGAGACACGGCCCAGACUCCUACGGGAGGCAGCAGUAGGGAAUCUUCGGCAAUGGACGAAAGUCUGACCGAGCAACGCCGCGUGAGUGAAGAAGGUUUUCGGAUCGUAAAACUCUGUUGUUAGAGAAGAACAAGGACGUUAGUAACUGAACGUCCCCUGACGGUAUCUAACCAGAAAGCCACGGCUAACUACGUGCCAGCAGCCGCGGUAAUACGUAGGUGGCAAGCGUUGUCCGGAUUUAUUGGGCGUAAAGCGAGCGCAGGCGGUUUCUUAAGUCUGAUGUGAAAGCCCCCGGCUCAACCGGGGAGGGUCAUUGGAAACUGGGAGACUUGAGUGCAGCCCCAGGAGAGUGGAAUUCCAUGUGUACCGGUGAAAUGCGUAGAUAUAUGGAGGAACACCUAGUGGCGAAGGCGGCUCUCUGGUCUGUAACUGACGCUGAGGCUCGAAAGCGUGGGGAGCAAACUAGGAUUAGAUACCCUGGUAGUCCACGCCGUAAACGACCGCUGCUAAGUGUUGGAGGGUUUCCGCCCUUCAGUGCUGCUAGCUAAACGCUAUUAAGCCUACUUCCG
RNAcentral lists this ribosomal RNA (787 nucleotides) under uncultured low G+C Gram-positive bacterium. Its description in RNAcentral is "bacterial SSU rRNA". It matches the Rfam family "Bacterial small subunit ribosomal RNA", at positions 106 to 875 of the family's 1533-position model. The record is from RNAcentral. Lineage: Bacteria; Bacillati; Bacillota.